RNAcentral lists this ribosomal RNA (831 nucleotides) under Panus fulvus. RNAcentral describes it as "partial large subunit ribosomal RNA". It matches the Rfam family "Eukaryotic large subunit ribosomal RNA", at positions 100 to 914 of the family's 3401-position model. The record is from RNAcentral. Lineage: Eukaryota; Fungi; Basidiomycota; Agaricomycetes; Polyporales; Panaceae.
GGGAAAAGCUCAAAUUUAAAAUCUGGCAGUCUUUGGCUGUCCGAAUUGUAUUCUGGAGAAGCGUCUUCCGCGCUGGACCGUGUACAAGUCUCUUGGAAUAGAGCGUCAUAGAGGGUGAGAAUCCCGUCUUUGACACGGACUACCAGUGCUUUGUGAUGCGCUCUCAAAGAGUCGAGUUGUUUGGGAAUGCAGCUCAAAAUGGGUGGUGAAUUCCAUCUAAAGCUAAAUAUUGGCGAGAGACCGAUAGCGAACAAGUACCGUGAGGGAAAGAUGAAAAGCACUUUGGAAAGAGAGUUAAACAGUACGUGAAAUUGCUGAAAGGGAAACGCUUGAAGUCAGUCGCGUCAUCCAGAACUCAGCCUGGCUUCUGCCUGGUGUACUUUCUGGUUGACGGGCCAGCAUCAGUUUUGACCGCUGGAAAAAGGCCAUGGGAAUGUGGCACCUUCGGGUGUGUUAUAGCCUGUGGUCAUAUACAGCGGUUGGGACUGAGGACCGCAGCACGCCUUUAUGGUUGGGGUUCGCCCACAUUCGUGCUUAGGAUGCUGGCGUAAUGGCUUUAAACGACCCGUCUUGAAACACGGACCAAGGAGUCUAACAUGCCUGCGAGUGUUUGGAUGGAAAACCCGAGCGCACAAUGAAAGUGAAAGUUGGGAUCCCUGUCGUGGGGAGCACCGACGCCCGGACCAGACCUUUUGUGACGGAUCCGCGGUAGAGCGAUGUAUGUUGGGACCCGAAAGAUGGUGAACUAUGCCUGAAUAGGGUGAAGCCUAGAGGAAACUCUGGUGGAGGCUCGUAGCGAUUUCUGACGUGCAAAUCGAUCGUCAAAUUUGG